Molecule: ribosomal RNA, 241 nt
Filed under: uncultured bacterium
Lineage: Bacteria
Description: partial 16S ribosomal RNA
Rfam family: Bacterial small subunit ribosomal RNA
Source: RNAcentral
UACGUAGGGUGCAAGCGUUAAUCGGAAUUACUGGGCGUAAAGCGUGCGCAGGCGGUUAUAGUAAGACAGGUGUGAAAUCCCCGGGCUUAAACCUGGGAACUGCAUUGUGACUGCAUAGCUAGAGUACGGUAGAGGGGGAUGGAAUUCCGCGUGUAGCAGUGAAAUGCGUAGAGAUCGGGAGGAACAUCCGUGGCGAAGGCGGCCAUCUGGAUCCGGAUACGUGACGCUGAGACGCGAAAGC